This 73-nucleotide transfer RNA is filed under the name Sargassum confusum. RNAcentral describes it as "tRNA-Met". It matches the Rfam family "tRNA". From Rfam's summary of the family: Transfer RNA (tRNA) molecules are approximately 80 nucleotides in length. The record is from RNAcentral. Lineage: Eukaryota; Phaeophyceae; Fucales; Sargassaceae. RNAcentral also lists the same sequence under 3 other names.
AGCGGUGUAGUUCAGCGGUUAGAACAUUGGAAUCAUAUCCCAGAUGUCAGGGGUUCAAAUCCCUUCUCCGUUA